This 506-nucleotide ribosomal RNA is filed under the name uncultured bacterium. RNAcentral's name for it is "partial 16S ribosomal RNA". It matches the Rfam family "Bacterial small subunit ribosomal RNA", at positions 30 to 523 of the family's 1533-position model. The record is from RNAcentral.
AUUGAACGCUGGCGGCAGGCCUAACACAUGCAAGUCGAACGGUAACAGAAAGCAGCUUGCUGCUUUGCUGACGAGUGGCGGACGGGUGAGUAAUGUCUGGGAAACUGCCGGAUGGAGGGGGAUAACUACUGGAAACGGUAGCUAAUACCGCAUAACGUCGCAAGACCAAAGAGGGGGACCUUCGGGCCUCUUGCCAUCGGAUGUGCCCAGAUGGGAUUAGCUAGUAGGUGGGGUAACGGCUCACCUAGGCGACGAUCCCUAGCUGGUCUGAGAGGAUGGCCAGCCACACUGGAACUGAGACACGGUCCAGACUCCUACGGGAGGCAGCAGUGGGGAAUAUUGCACAAUGGGCGCAAGCCUGAUGCAGCCAUGCCGCGUGUAUGAAGAAGGCCUUCGGGUUGUAAAGUACUUUCAGCGAGGAGGAAGGUGUUGUGGUUAAUAACCACAGCAAUUGACGUUACUCGCAGAAGAAGCACCGGCUAACUCCGUGCCAGCAGCCGCAGUAA